Molecule: ribosomal RNA, 253 nt
Filed under: uncultured prokaryote
Description: partial 16S ribosomal RNA
Rfam family: Bacterial small subunit ribosomal RNA
Source: RNAcentral
UACGUAGGGUGCGAGCGUUGUCCGGAAUUAUUGGGCGUAAAGAGCUCGUAGGCGGCUUGUCGCGUCGGAUGUGAAAGCCCGAGGCUUAACCUCGGGUCUGCAUUCGAUACGGGCAGGCUAGAGUGUGGUAGGGGAGAUCGGAAUUCCUGGUGUAGCGGUGAAAUGCGCAGAUAUCAGGAGGAACACCUGCGGUGUAGACAGCUUACUGGACCACGACUGACGCUGAGGCACGAAAGCGUGGGUAGCAAACAGG